Molecule: RNA transcript, 1070 nt
Organism: Vigna angularis (adzuki bean)
Lineage: Eukaryota; Viridiplantae; Streptophyta; Magnoliopsida; Fabales; Fabaceae
Gene name: extensin
Exons: 4
Source: RefSeq, a predicted model, not a curated record
CCCCAUCAGAUGGGUUGUGAAUGAAGUAGGGCCGGGUUAGCCCCCUAGUCCCAAUUUCUUCUGAACAACCACUUCACUUCACUAAGCACAAGACGACCUCCCCCUCACUCUCGCCGCUCCUCCCUCCACCUCCUCCCGCCGUCUCCCCCGUCAUGUUAGACCCCGGAGGAAAUUCACCAUCAUCGACGCCUACCGCGAUAAGUGGUACUCCCUCGGCCGCACUAACCUCAAAGUCACCCACUGGAAGAGGUUGCCAAUGUCGUCACUGCCCAGUGCCCCAACACUUACGCCACUGCCAAAACCGUCGUCUAGUGCCGCCACAAAAUGGAAAAACUCCGCAAACACUACCGCACCGAAAUCCAACGUCUCCGCUCCCUCCCUCUCCCUCGCCUCAUCAAUAACUCCAUCACCACUUCACCCUCCUCCUGGGUUCACUUUAAAUCCAUGGAUUCCAUGGAAGAAGGCCCCAACAAACCCCACACCAACCCCACCUUCUGAAAAUAAAGGUGAAAGUAGAUUGUAAUGAAUCUGUCAUUUGGGUUAGCCUUUAAACAAGGGAGAUUGAGAGCAUGCGAUUGGAGAUGGAGAUGAAGCGCACUGUUGCCAAAAACUUUCCUUAUUUUCAUGACCAUGCUUCUAAGGUAAAAAUGCUUAUGCCUUGUCAGUAUUAAGGCGGGUUGAGAUGAAAAUUGAUGGUCGAGAUAUCUCUGAAAGCAGAGAAAUUGAUAUUGCAGAGCAAUGAGAUUAUCUACUAAAGCAAGCCACUAGUGUAGAUAAUCUAUGCAACAUGUACGAAGGAAGAUUAAAUAAGCAUGUUAAAAUAGCGUACAACUUUAGCUUAGUCUUGUAUUUCUAUUUUUAUUCAAAAGCAAGUCAUAGUGUUCUCCAUUACUUUACAGGAAAAUUAUUAUUAUUCGUGUCAUAUAAUUGUUAAAUAUAUAGGUGUUUGUUUAUUUGUGUUACAUUUGCUGCAUCUUCUAAUGUAUGUGUAGUUGUUUCUCAUUUAUUGUGUUCUGAAUUGUAUAUUCUCAAAAGUAAUGUGUAAUAUCAGCAAAUGGUUCUGUUAUUGU